This 433-nucleotide ribosomal RNA is filed under the name uncultured bacterium. RNAcentral describes it as "partial 16S ribosomal RNA". It matches the Rfam family "Bacterial small subunit ribosomal RNA", at positions 29 to 507 of the family's 1533-position model. The record is from RNAcentral.
AACGAACGCUGGCGGCAGGCCUAACACAUGCAAGUCGAGCGCGCCCUUCGGGGUGAGCGGCGGACGGGUGUGUAACGCGUCGGAACGGUCCCUUUUCUACGGAAUAGCAUCUGGAAACGGAGAGUAAUACCGUAUAAGCCCUGCUGGGGAAAGAUUUAUCGGAAAAGUAUAGGCACGCGUUGUACUAGGUAGUUGCGGGGGUAAUAGCCUACCAAGGAGACGAUCCAUAGCGGGUUUGAGAGAAUGAUAGGCCACACUGGGACUGAGACACGGCCCAGAAUACUACGGGAUGCAGCAAUGGGUAAUCUUAGACAAUCGGGGGGAUCAAGAUGUAGCCAUGGCGCGUAAGUCAUUAAGGUGUGAGGGUAGUAAAGCUCUUUAAGAUGGGGCGAUAAUGACGGUACCCGCAGAAGAAGCCCCGGCUAACUUCGUG